AUCGGAGGAAAAGAAACCAACAGGGAUUGCCUUAGUAACGGCGAGUGAAGCGGCAAAAGCUCAAAUUUGAAAUCUGGCACCUUCGGUGUCCGAGUUGUAAUUUGAAGAAGGUAACUUUGGAGUUGGCUCUUGUCUAUGUUCCUUGGAACAGGACGUCACAGAGGGUGAGAAUCCCGUGCGAUGAGAUGCCCAAUUCUAUGUAAAGUGCUUUCGAAGAGUCGAGUUGUUUGGGAAUGCAGCUCUAAGUGGGUGGUAAAUUCCAUCUAAAGCUAAAUAUUGGCGAGAGACCGAUAGCGAACAAGUACAGUGAUGGAAAGAUGAAAAGAACUUUGAAAAGAGAGUGAAAAAGUACGUGAAAUUGUUGAAAGGGAAGGGCUUGAGAUCAGACUUGGUAUUUUGCGAUCCUUUCCUUCUUGGUUGGGUUCCUCGCAGCUUACUGGGCCAGCAUCGGUUUGGAUGGUAGGAUAAUGACUAAGGAAUGUGGCUCUACUUCGGUGGAGUGUUAUAGCCUUGGUUGAUACUGCCUGUCUAGACCGAGGACUGCGUCUUUGACUAGGAGUGGC
Molecule: ribosomal RNA, 563 nt
Filed under: Debaryomyces hansenii
Lineage: Eukaryota; Fungi; Ascomycota; Pichiomycetes; Serinales; Debaryomycetaceae
Description: partial large subunit ribosomal RNA
Rfam family: Eukaryotic large subunit ribosomal RNA
Source: RNAcentral